Molecule: ribosomal RNA, 1345 nt
Filed under: uncultured bacterium
Lineage: Bacteria
Description: 16S ribosomal RNA
Rfam family: Bacterial small subunit ribosomal RNA
Source: RNAcentral
GACGAACGCUGGCGGCGUGCUUAACACAUGCAAGUCGAACGGAAAGGCCCUGCUUUUGUGGGGUGCUCGAGUGGCGAACGGGUGAGUAACACGUGAGUAACCUGCCCUUGACUUUGGGAUAACUUCAGGAAACUGGGGCUAAUACCGGAUAGGAGCUCCUGCUGCAUGGUGGGGGUUGGAAAGUUUCGGCGGUUGGGGAUGGACUCGCGGCUUAUCAGCUUGUUGGUGGGGUAGUGGCUUACCAAGGCUUUGACGGGUAGCCGGCCUGAGAGGGUGACCGGCCACAUUGGGACUGAGAUACGGCCCAGACUCCUACGGGAGGCAGCAGUGGGGAAUAUUGCACAAUGGGCGGAAGCCUGAUGCAGCAACGCCGCGUGCGGGAUGACGGCCUUCGGGUUGUAAACCGCUUUCGCCUGUGACGAAGCGUGAGUGACGGUAAUGGGUAAAGAAGCACCGGCUAACUACGUGCCAGCAGCCGCGGUGAUACGUAGGGUGCGAGCGUUGUCCGGAUUUAUUGGGCGUAAAGGGCUCGUAGGUGGUUGAUCGCGUCGGAAGUGUAAUCUUGGGGCUUAACCCCUGAGCGUGCUUUCGAUACGGGUUGACUUGAGGAAGGUAGGGGAGAAAGGGAAUUCCUGGUGGAGCGGUGGAAUGCGCAGAUAUCAGGAGGAACACCAGUGGCGAAGGCGAUUCUCUGGGCCUUUCCUGACGCUGAGGAGCGAAAGCGUGGGGAGCGAACAGGCUUAGAUACCCUGGUAGUCCACGCUGUAAACGGUGGGUACUAGGUGUGGGGUCCAUUCCACGGGUUCCGUGCCGUAGCUAACGCUUUAAGUACCCCGCCUGGGGAGUACGGCCGCAAGGCUAAAACUCAAAGGAAUUGACGGGGCCCCGCACAAGCGGCGGAGCAUGCGGAUUAAUUCGAUGCAACGCGUAGAACCUUACCUGGGUUUGACAUGGAUCGGGAGUGCUCAGAGAUGGGUGUGCCUCUUUUGGGGUCGGUUCACAGGUGGUGCAUGGCUGUCGUCAGCUCGUGUCGUGAGAUGUUGGGUUAAGUCCCGCAACGAGCGCAACCCUUGUUCACUGUUGCCAGCACGUUAUGGUGGGGACUCAGUGGAGACCGCCGGGGUCAACUCGGAGGAAGGUGGGGAUGACGUCAAGUCAUCAUGCCCCUUAUGUCCAGGGCUUCACGCAUGCUACAAUGGCUGGUACAGAGAGUGGCGAGCCUGUGAGGGUGAGCGAAUCUCGGAAAGCCGGUCUCAGUUCGGAUUGGGGUCUGCAACUCGACCUCAUGAAGUCGGAGUCGCUAGUAAUCGCAGAUCAGCAACGCUGCGGUGAAUACGUUCCCGGG